GCUGGAGGCCGAAUUGGGCAGCUCGCCAGUGAAAAAGCCAGAAAAGGGACUGGAAACAAGGGCAGGGCAGAGCUGGUAGGCGGAACUAGGGUGUGGACAGACCAGGCGCACACUGCUGAGGUGGCAGCAGGCUACUGAAAACUGGGUGGCAGGGUGAGGAGGGCUCAGCUGAACCCCAGCCCCGACAUUGCGGCUGACAAGGGUGUCCGAGGUGCGGCUGCUGCAAAAAAGAACCUCUAAGCCAGGCCGCUGAACCUUCUGCUCAGAGAGAGGGGAGCCAGUCCAACGAGGAAGAACAGUUUUCAGAGGGAUCCUCCCAGGAAAGUUGGAGAGGAUCCAGAAACAAGUACAGACAGAAAAUGGGGGUGGCCUGUAGAAAGACAAGGGAUGACUUUUCCGGGGAGCGGUGAAGAAAUUCUCAGUCAGUAAAUUGACGAUUGAAAUUUUACCAGUCUCCUUCUUCCUGGUUCUUAAACCUCUGAUCCCAGUUAAAAAUGCAGUGGCAAAAAAAAAAAAAAAAGGAAUACUUGGAAUGCCUGUCAGUCCGUGGUGUGAAUGAGUGAUUGAUUAAACAAAUUUUGAUUGAGCCCGUGCUUUGUGAACAUAGACCCUACAUUUUAGCUCUAUGUGGUCCAUCUGAACCAGCAAUAAACAAGUCAACAAGUAUAUAAAUAAAAAAUCGAUCCAGAUAGUGAGAAGACAAAGGAGAAAAUAGAUCAGAUUUUCAGAUACUUUGCCAUCAAAACAGGUCUGAAGAUAACUGAAAGGAGUGUUGAAAGCUUCACGAUGUGCUGUCCCUCCCCUGCUCUCUCUCUCCUUGCUCAGCAUUAGGGAUUGAGUUCCCUUAAAACCAAACAGAAGGAAGAAAGGCACAUGAAGUACUUUUCAUGCUAGGCAAAGACUCUACCACAUCACCAGCUCAAAAGAAUGCACUUGGGAACCCAAACUGGUUCUGUGAACUGUGGAAUAUAGAACAAGUCACUCAAUGUCUGUGGGCCUCAGAUUCUUCAUCUGUAAAGUAAAAAUAAUACUAGGGUUGUUGUAAGGAAUAAAUUAUAUUCUCUAUCUGUAAAUCAAUUAACAUAAUAUCUAGUAUACAAUAAGUAUUCAAUAAAAAACAUUAUCUUCAUAUAAUUUUCCUUAGAAAGCUUGUAAGAUUUCAGAUGUAGAAUUAUGAUUAAGUAAUGUUUAUUAAACUUAAUUAUUUCCUACCCUGUUUCUUAGGAAAACUUCCACAUUAUUAUAGCACUUUCCUACUAUAGGAUGUAUUCAGCAUUUUAUGUUUAAGACAGGGUCUUGUUAAAUUGCUCAGGUUGCCCAGGAACUCUUGGGUUCAAACGAUCCUGUCUCAACCUUCAGAGUAGCUGCAACUACAGGCAUAUCACUGCAUCUAGUUUCACCAUUGUAUUUUAAUUAUUUGUUUUCAUUCAUGCAGCACUGAAAUCUAGGGUGGGGCUUUAUUCUUGUUUAUGUUCUCAGGUCACCAGACAUUUUGCAGGUUAAUUUGGAUUUGGAAAUCAUUCACAUGGAGGCAGAUCACUAAUGUAAAUGAGAAGGAGGUGGUCAUCACAGGUUUAGGAAGUUAAACACUUUGCUGUUUAUUUAGUAAGUCUACAGAUUUAGUUUCUGUUCUUAUUAAUCGUGCAUUUCUAAGUGUCACUGAAACAUAUUUUCAGAAUAUCCUCAUCUGCUGAGUUCAGUAUUUGGCUUCUUGAUGGCUGCCUAUUUAUAAAAUUGAUAAUAAACACAAUGAUAGUUUAUUAAAAAUUUAAAAAGAACAAACCUAACAGUGGUUCUCUGCUGCUGUAUUGUUUACACACAGACAGAGGCAGCUGCCCUCUAAGAAGUCUGCACUUCCUGUUUUGGUAAGGAAUAAUAGAAAAGGCAACCAGUUAGAAGUCACAGCUGGGUUUCCAAACGGGCUUUGCUGCUUACUAGCUAUGUGAACUUUUAAAAUUUUAUUAUAUAUUUUGUUUGAUUCAAUAUAUCCAAGGUAUUAUUUCAACAUGUAAUCAGUAUAAGCUUUAGAAAUCCAGAGUAUAUUUUAUUUACAUUUGUUGCACAUAUUAGUUCCGGUGCCUGCGGUUCUGAGUCUCAAUUUCCUUAUUUGUGAAAUGAAGAUAGAGUUGUCCAGGUCCCUGAAAGGGUUUUAAGAGUGCACGUGAACCUGCACUCCACCCUGCACAGAGGGGCGCCCAAUAAGUCUGGUAUCCUUUCAGUCCUUUCUCCCACUCUGCUCUGUCUCCUAGCUGUGUGAACUUGAAGGAAUCAUUUAACCUAUCCAAUCUCAUUGCUUUCACCUGUCAAAUGACAACAAUACCGUCCCUUCUUUUUAAUAGAUAUGAAUAUCAAAUUAAAUAUUGUAUAUUAAGUUUUUGUGUGGGUAUGUAUGCUGCUAAGGAUUACAUUGAGGGCCUCCCACAUGCAAGCCAAACACCAACCACUGAGCAAUACCCUGACAUCCCCCAAAUCUUGAAUAGUUCUGUUCAAAUGUAAAGCAGUAUUCUCACAAGAAAUUCACUGGAGAGCUUUUUUUUUUUUUAAAGCCUUCUAUAACAC
Marmota monax (woodchuck) is the source of this 2559-nucleotide long non-coding RNA. RefSeq lists it as uncharacterized. Lineage: Eukaryota; Metazoa; Chordata; Mammalia; Rodentia; Sciuridae. The record is from RefSeq and is a predicted model, not a curated record. The transcript has 3 exons.